This 792-nucleotide ribosomal RNA is filed under the name uncultured marine bacterium. Its description in RNAcentral is "bacterial SSU rRNA". It matches the Rfam family "Bacterial small subunit ribosomal RNA", at positions 35 to 874 of the family's 1533-position model. The record is from RNAcentral.
GCUGGCGGCAGGCCUAACACAUGCAAGUCGAGCGCUCACUUCGGUGGGAGCGGCGGACGGGUUAGUAACGCGUGGGAAUAUGCCCGGUACUAAGGAAUAGCCUUUGGAAACGAAGAGUAAUACCUUAUACGCCCUUCGGGGGAAAGAUUUAUCGGUAUCGGAUUAGCCCGCGUAAGAUUAGAUAGUUGGUGGGGUAAUGGCCUACCAAGUCUACGAUCUUUAGCUGGUUUUAGAGGAUGAUCAGCAACACUGGGACUGAGACACGGCCCAGACUCCUACGGGAGGCAGCAGUGGGGAAUCUUAGACAAUGGGCGCAAGCCUGAUCUAGCCAUGCCGCGUGAGUGAUGAAGGCCUUAGGGUCGUAAAACUCUUUCGCCAGAGAUGAUAAUGACAGUAUCUGGUAAAGAAACCCCGGCUAACUCCGUGCCAGCAGCCGCGGUAAUACGGAGGGGGUUAGCGUUGUUCGGAAUUACUGGGCGUAAAGCGCACGUAGGCGGACUGGAAAGUUGGGGGUGAAAUCCCGGGGCUCAACCUCGGAACUGCCUCCAAAACUAUCAGUCUAGAGUUCGAGAGAGGUGAGUGGAAUUCCAAGUGUAGAGGUGAAAUUCGUAGAUAUUUGGAGGAACACCAGUGGCGAAGGCGGCUCACUGGCUCGAUACUGACGCUGAGGUGCGAAAGUGUGGGGAGCAAACAGGAUUAGAUACCCUGGUAGUCCACACCGUAAACGAUGAAUGCCAGUCGUCGGCAAGUAUACUUGUCGGUGACACACCUAACGGAUUAAGCAUUCCGCCU